AUUGAACGCUGGCGGCAGGCCUAACACAUGCAAGUCGAGCGGAUGAGUGGAGCUUGCUCCAUGAUUCAGCGGCGGACGGGUGAGUAAUGCCUAGGAAUCUGCCUGGUAGUGGGGGACAACGUUUCGAAAGGAACGCUAAUACCGCAUACGUCCUACGGGAGAAAGCAGGGGACCUUCGGGCCUUGCGCUAUCAGAUGGGCCUAGGUCGGAUUAGCUAGUAGGUGAGGUAAAGACUCACCUAGGCGACGAUCCGUAACUGGUCUGAGAGGAUGAUCAGGCACACUGGAACGGAGACACGGUCCAGACUCCUACGGGAGGCAGCAGUGGGGAAUAUUGGACAAUGGGCGAAAGCCUGAUCCAGCCAUGCCGCGUGUGUGAAGAAGGUCUUCGGAUUGUAAAGCACUUUAAGUUGGGAGGAAGGGCAGUAAGUUAAUACCUUGCUGUUUUGACGUUACCAACAGAAUAAGCACCGGCUAACUUCGUGCCAGCAGCCGCCGUAA
RNAcentral lists this ribosomal RNA (500 nucleotides) under uncultured bacterium. Its description in RNAcentral is "partial 16S ribosomal RNA". It matches the Rfam family "Bacterial small subunit ribosomal RNA", at positions 30 to 523 of the family's 1533-position model. The record is from RNAcentral.